RNAcentral lists this ribosomal RNA (1270 nucleotides) under Bacillus sp. (in: firmicutes). RNAcentral describes it as "bacterial SSU rRNA". It matches the Rfam family "Bacterial small subunit ribosomal RNA", at positions 66 to 1312 of the family's 1533-position model. The record is from RNAcentral. Lineage: Bacteria; Bacillati; Bacillota; Bacilli; Caryophanales; Bacillaceae.
GCGGAUCUUCAUUAGCUUGCUUUUGAAGAUCAGCGGCGGACGGGUGAGUAACACGUGGGCAACCUGCCUGUAAGACUGGGAUAACUUCGGGAAACCGGAGCUAAUACCGGAUAAUCCUUUCCCUCACAUGAGGGAAAGCUGAAAGACGGUUUCGGCUGUCACUUACAGAUGGGCCCGCGGCGCAUUAGCUAGUUGGUGAGGUAACGGCUCACCAAGGCAACGAUGCGUAGCCGACCUGAGAGGGUGAUCGGCCACACUGGGACUGAGACACGGCCCAGACUCCUACGGGAGGCAGCAGUAGGGAAUCUUCCGCAAUGGACGAAAGUCUGACGGAGCAACGCCGCGUGAACGAUGAAGGCUUUCGGGUCGUAAAGUUCUGUUGUCAGGGAAGAACAAGUACCGGAGUAACUGCCGGUACCUUGACGGUACCUGACCAGAAAGCCACGGCUAACUACGUGCCAGCAGCCGCGGUAAUACGUAGGUGGCAAGCGUUGUCCGGAAUUAUUGGGCGUAAAGCGCGCGCAGGCGGUUCCUUAAGUCUGAUGUGAAAGCCCCCGGCUCAACCGGGGAGGGUCAUUGGAAACUGGGGAACUUGAGUGCAGAAGAGGAGAGCGGAAUUCCACGUGUAGCGGUGAAAUGCGUAGAGAUGUGGAGGAACACCAGUGGCGAAGGCGGCUCUCUGGUCUGUAACUGACGCUGAGGCGCGAAAGCGUGGGGAGCGAACAGGAUUAGAUACCCUGGUAGUCCACGCCGUAAACGAUGAGUGCUAAGUGUUAGAGGGUUUCCGCCCUUUAGUGCUGCAGCAAACGCAUUAAGCACUCCGCCUGGGGAGUACGGCCGCAAGGCUGAAACUCAAAGGAAUUGACGGGGGCCCGCACAAGCGGUGGAGCAUGUGGUUUAAUUCGAAGCAACGCGAAGAACCUUACCAGGUCUUGACAUCCUCUGACAACCCUAGAGAUAGGGCGUUCCCCUUCGGGGGACAGAGUGACAGGUGGUGCAUGGUUGUCGUCAGCUCGUGUCGUGAGAUGUUGGGUUAAGUCCCGCAACGAGCGCAACCCUUGAUCUUAGUUGCCAGCAUUCAGUUGGGCACUCUAAGGUGACUGCCGGUGACAAACCGGAGGAAGGUGGGGGAUGACGUCAAAUCAUCAUGCCCCUUAUGACCUGGGCUACACACCUGGUUCCAAUGGAUGGGAACAAAGGGGCGCGAAACCCCGGAGGUCGAGCCAAUCCCCUAAAUCCAUUCUCCGGUCCGGAUUGGAAGGGUGCAAAU